Molecule: ribosomal RNA, 448 nt
Filed under: uncultured bacterium
Lineage: Bacteria
Description: partial 16S ribosomal RNA
Rfam family: Bacterial small subunit ribosomal RNA
Source: RNAcentral
CCCAGACUCCUACGGGAGGCAGCAGUGGGGGAUAUUGCACAAUGGGGGAACCCUGAUCCAGCGACGCCGCGUGAGUGAAGAAGUAUUUCGGUAUGUAAAGCUCUAUCAGCAGGGAAGAAAGAAAUGACGGUACCUGACUAAGAAGCCCCGGCUAACUACGUGCCAGCAGCCGCGGUAAUACGUAGGCGGCAAGCGUUGUCCGGAUUUACUGGGUGUAAAGGGCGUGCAGCCGGGAAGACAAGUCAGAUGUGAAAUCCCGCGGCUCAACCGCGGAACUGCAUUUGAAACUGUUUUUCUUGAGUACCGGAGAGGUCAUCGGAAUUCCUUGUGUAGCGGUGAAAUGCGUGGAUAUAAGGAAGAACACCAGUGGCGAGGGCGGAUGACUGGACGGCAACUGACGGUGAGGCGCAAAAGCGUGGGGAGCAAACAGGAUUAGAUACCCGAGUAC